UUAAGCGACUAAGCGUACACGGUGGAUGCCCUGGCAGUCAGAGGCGAUGAAGGACGUGCUAAUCUGCGAUAAGCGUCGGUAAGGUGAUAUGAACCGUUAUAACCGGCGAUUUCCGAAUGGGGAAACCCAGUGUGAUUCGUCACACUAUCAUUAACUGAAUCCAUAGGUUAAUGAGGCGAACCGGGGGAACUGAAACAUCUAAGUACCCCGAGGAAAAGAAAUCAACCGAGAUUCCCCCAGUAGCGGCGAGCGAACGGGGAGCAGCCCAGAGCCUGAAUCAGUGUGUGUGUUAGUGGAAGCGUCUGGAAAGGCGCGCGAUACAGGGUGACAGCCCCGUACACAAAAAUGCACAUGCUGUGAGCUCGAUGAGUAGGGCGGGACACGUGGUAUCCUGUCUGAAUAUGGGGGGACCAUCCUCCAAGGCUAAAUACUCCUGACUGACCGAUAGUGAACCAGUACCGUGAGGGAAAGGCGAAAAGAACCCCGGCGAGGGGAGUGAAAAAGAACCUGAAACCGUGUACGUACAAGCAGUGGGAGCACGCUUCGGCGUGUGACUGCGUACCUUUUGUAUAAUGGGUCAGCGACUUAUAUUCUGUAGCAAGGUUAACCGAAUAGGGGAGCCGAAGGGAAACCGAGUCUUAACUGGGCGUUAAGUUGCAGGGUAUAGACCCGAAACCCGGUGAUCUAGCCAUGGGCAGGUUGAAGGUUGGGUAACACUAACUGGAGGACCGAACCGACUAAUGUUGAAAAAUUAGCGGAUGACUUGUGGCUGGGGGUGAAAGGCCAAUCAAACCGGGAGAUAGCUGGUUCUCCCCGAAAGCUAUUUAGGUAGCGCCUCGUGAAUUCAUCUCCGGGGGUAGAGCACUGUUUCGGCAAGGGGGUCAUCCCGACUUACCAACCCGAUGCAAACUGCGAAUACCGGAGAAUGUUAUCACGGGAGACACACGGCGGGUGCUAACGUCCGUCGUGAAGAGGGAAACAACCCAGACCGCCAGCUAAGGUCCCAAAGUCAUGGUUAAGUGGGAAACGAUGUGGGAAGGCCCAGACAGCCAGGAUGUUGGCUUAGAAGCAGCCAUCAUUUAAAGAAAGCGUAAUAGCUCACUGGUCGAGUCGGCCUGCGCGGAAGAUGUAACGGGGCUAAACCAUGCACCGAAGCUGCGGCAGCGACGCUUAUGCGUUGUUGGGUAGGGGAGCGUUCUGUAAGCCUGCGAAGGUGUGCUGUGAGGCAUGCUGGAGGUAUCAGAAGUGCGAAUGCUGACAUAAGUAACGAUAAAGCGGGUGAAAAGCCCGCUCGCCGGAAGACCAAGGGUUCCUGUCCAACGUUAAUCGGGGCAGGGUGAGUCGACCCCUAAGGCGAGGCCGAAAGGCGUAGUCGAUGGGAAACAGGUUAAUAUUCCUGUACUUGGUGUUACUGCGAAGGGGGGACGGAGAAGGCUAUGUUGGCCGGGCGACGGUUGUCCCGGUUUAAGCGUGUAGGCUGGUUUUCCAGGCAAAUCCGGAAAAUCAAGGCUGAGGCGUGAUGACGAGGCACUACGGUGCUGAAGCAACAAAUGCCCUGCUUCCAGGAAAAGCCUCUAAGCAUCAGGUAACAUCAAAUCGUACCCCAAACCGACACAGGUGGUCAGGUAGAGAAUACCAAGGCGCUUGAGAGAACUCGGGUGAAGGAACUAGGCAAAAUGGUGCCGUAACUUCGGGAGAAGGCACGCUGAUAUGUAGGUGAAGUCCCUUGCGGAUGGAGCUGAAAUCAGUCGAAGAUACCAGCUGGCUGCAACUGUUUAUUAAAAACACAGCACUGUGCAAACACGAAAGUGGACGUAUACGGUGUGACGCCUGCCCGGUGCCGGAAGGUUAAUUGAUGGGGUCAGCGCAAGCGAAGCUCUUGAUCGAAGCCCCGGUAAACGGCGGCCGUAACUAUAACGGUCCUAAGGUAGCGAAAUUCCUUGUCGGGUAAGUUCCGACCUGCACGAAUGGCGUAAUGAUGGCCAGGCUGUCUCCACCCGAGACUCAGUGAAAUUGAACUCGCUGUGAAGAUGCAGUGUACCCGCGGCAAGACGGAAAGACCCCGUGAACCUUUACUAUAGCUUGACACUGAACAUUGAGCCUUGAUGUGUAGGAUAGGUGGGAGGCUUUGAAGUGUGGACGCCAGUCUGCAUGGAGCCGACCUUGAAAUACCACCCUUUAAUGUUUGAUGUUCUAACGUUGACCCGUAAUCCGGGUUGCGGACAGUGUCUGGUGGGUAGUUUGACUGGGGCGGUCUCCUCCUAAAGAGUAACGGAGGAGCACGAAGGUUGGCUAAUCCUGGUCGGACAUCAGGAGGUUAGUGCAAUGGCAUAAGCCAGCUUGACUGCGAGCGUGACGGCGCGAGCAGGUGCGAAAGCAGGUCAUAGUGAUCCGGUGGUUCUGAAUGGAAGGGCCAUCGCUCAACGGAUAAAAGGUACUCCGGGGAUAACAGGCUGAUACCGCCCAAGAGUUCAUAUCGACGGCGGUGUUUGGCACCUCGAUGUCGGCUCAUCACAUCCUGGGGCUGAAGUAGGUCCCAAGGGUAUGGCUGUUCGCCAUUUAAAGUGGUACGCGAGCUGGGUUUAGAACGUCGUGAGACAGUUCGGUCCCUAUCUGCCGUGGGCGCUGGAGAACUGAGGGGGGCUGCUCCUAGUACGAGAGGACCGGAGUGGACGCAUCACUGGUGUUCGGGUUGUCAUGCCAAUGGCACUGCCCGGUAGCUAAAUGCGGAAGAGAUAAGUGCUGAAAGCAUCUAAGCACGAAACUUGCCCCGAGAUGAGUUCUCCCUGACUCCUUGAGAGUCCUGAAGGAACGUUGAAGACGACGACGUUGAUAGGCCGGGUGUGUAAGCGCAGCGAUGCGUUGAGCUAACCGGUACUAAUGAACCGUGAGGCUUAACCUU
RNAcentral lists this ribosomal RNA (2902 nucleotides) under Escherichia coli. Its description in RNAcentral is "bacterial LSU rRNA". It matches the Rfam family "Bacterial large subunit ribosomal RNA". The record is from RNAcentral. Lineage: Bacteria; Pseudomonadati; Pseudomonadota; Gammaproteobacteria; Enterobacterales; Enterobacteriaceae.